This 214-nucleotide ribosomal RNA is filed under the name uncultured bacterium. RNAcentral describes it as "partial 16S ribosomal RNA". It matches the Rfam family "Bacterial small subunit ribosomal RNA", at positions 524 to 736 of the family's 1533-position model. The record is from RNAcentral.
UACGUAGGGAGCAAGCGUUGUCCGGAAUCAUUGGGCGUAAAGCGCGCGUAGGCGGCCUCGUAAGUCCGUUGUGAAAAGUCAAAGGCUCAACCUUUGAAAGCCGAUGGAUACUGUGAGGCUAGAGUCCGGAAGAGGCGAGUGGAAUUCCUGGUGUAGCGGUGGAAUGCGCAGAUAUCAGGAGGAACACCAAUAGCGAAGGCAGCUCGCUGGGACG